UCAAGUUACUAAGAGCGUAGGGCGGAUGCCUUGGCACCUAGAGCCGAAGAAGGACGUGAUAAGCUGCGAAAAGCUACGGAGAGCUGCAAAUAAGCUACGACCCGUAGAUAUCCGAAUGGGGAAACCCAGUUUAGCAAACCUAAACUAUCCACUAGUGAAUACAUAGCUAGUGAGAAGGGAACCCGGAGAACUGAAACAUCUAAGUACCCGGAGGAAAAGAAAGUAACAACGAUUCCUUAAGUAGCGGCGAGCGAACGAGGACCAGCCUGCGAGGGCGCAAGAAAAGAGAUAGUCGAAUCGACUGGAAAGAGAAUCAAAGAGGGUAAAAAUCCCGUAGACGAAAUCGAAUGGAAGCAAACUCGCUUAACAAGUAGCAUGAGACACGAGAAAUCUUGUGUGAAGAUGGGAGGCCCACCUCCUAAGGCUAAAUACUACUAGGUGACCGAUAGAGGACAAGUACCGUGAGGGAAAGGUGAAAAGAACCCCGGAAGGGGAGUGAAAUAGAAUCUGAAACCCUAUGUUUACAAGCAGCGAAAGCACGUUAAAAGUGCAAUCGUGUACUUUUUGUAGAACGGGCCAGCGAGUUAUUGUAUAUAGCGAGAUUAAGGCAUUAAGUGCUGUAGUCGGAGGGAAACCGAGUCUUAAUAGGGCGGAAAGUUAUAUAUAAUAGACCCGAAACCGGGUGAUCUAUCCAUGUGCAGAGUGAAGUAUCGGUAAAACGAUAUGGAGGCUCGAACCGGGUAAGGUUUAAAACUUAUCGGAUGACGUGUGGAUAGGGGUGAAAAGCCAAACGAACUCGGAGAUAGCUGGUUCUCCUCGAAAUAGCUUUAGGGCUAGCCUUUGAGAAAGUUUAAUGGAGGUAGAGCACUGAAUGGUCGCGGGGCAUGUAUAUGUUACCAACACCUAUCAAACUCCGAAUGCCAAGAAAACAACUCAAGGAGUCAGACAUGGACAACCAGGAUGUUGGCUUAGAAGCAGCCAUACAUUUAAAGAGUGCGUAAUAGCUCACUGGUCAAGUGAUUUUGCGCCAAAGAUUUCCGGGGCUAAAUCUAACACCGAAGUCGUGGACUUGAUUAAAUCAAGUGGUAGAGGAGCAUUGUAUGUGGGCAGAAGCAGUAUCGUAAGGAACUGUGGACUGCAUACAAGAGAGAAUGCUGGCAUGAGUAGCGAGAGGUGAGUGAGAAUCUCACCCAUCGAAAACCUAAGGAUUCCUGGGCAAGGCUCGUCCCCCCAGGGUAAGUCGGGACCUAAGAUCAGGCUGAAAAGCGUAGUCGAUGGACAACUGGUUGAGAUUCCAGUACUAUCAAUAGUCGUUAUUAGAGAAGUGGUGACGCAGGAGGAUUAACUUACCCGCACGGCAAGGAAAAGUGCGGCCAAAUACCAAGCCAGAGAAUGUAGGCAAAUCCGCAUUCUCGCUAAAGUAAGGUAUGAUGGGGAUCGAAAAACAAGUAGAGAAGAAGACUAAUUCACACUGCCAAGAAAACCCACUAUCGAGACUAAAGAUACCCGUACCGCAAACCGACACAGGUAGGAGAGGAGAGAAUCCUAAGAUGAGCGGAAGAACCUUUGUUAAGGAACUCGGCAAAAUGACCCCGUAACUUCGGGAGAAGGGGAGCCAAUAGGCUAACUAUUGGCCGCAGUGAAUAGGCCCAAGCGACUGUUUACCAAAAACACAAGUUUCUGCUAAGAAGCAAUUCGAAGUAUAGGAGCUGACACCUGCCCGGUGCUGGAAGGUUAAGGGGAAGGCUUAGCGCAAGCGAAGGCUAGAACUUAAGCCCCAGUAAACGGCGGCCGUAACUAUAACGGUCCUAAGGUAGCGAAAUUCCUCGUCGGGUAAGUUCCGACCCGCACGA
Molecule: ribosomal RNA, 1853 nt
Filed under: human gut metagenome
Description: bacterial LSU rRNA
Rfam family: Bacterial large subunit ribosomal RNA
Source: RNAcentral